Leptonychotes weddellii (Weddell seal) is the source of this 4271-nucleotide non-coding RNA. The record is from RefSeq and is a predicted model, not a curated record. Lineage: Eukaryota; Metazoa; Chordata; Mammalia; Carnivora; Phocidae.
CCCCCAAGAGUGGGACUCUUGACUGACUGGGCCACCCAGGUGCCCCACCAGUGGCUUCUUUUUAAUUUGAAUGUCUUUGGUUGAAUCCAGGGUUGGUAGUUGGACAUCUGUUGUACUUGUUCAUAAGAACCACACAUUGGCUGUCUAGUGCUGCCUCCCUCUGUCGACACAAGAGGUGCAUGUGUUAGACCAGUGUAGACAUGGCUGUAGAGGUUUCUCCAUGUCUGAAAGCAGCAGGAGAGGGCUGGAACCACACAUGACCCCUCACCAGUCCUCAAACAGUGGCCUUUCAUCAGUUGGAUUCACAGCAGUAGACUGGCGUGGUCAUUGUAAGCCCAGUUGGAAAUUCUUUCGCUUGCACUGCUUCUCUGAGGGCGCAUACAGAAUGCUUUCUCUUUGGCUUACCCAGCAUAAUAUCAUCAAGACAACAUUUUUAAGCAUCUGCCUGGCAGGCUAACCUUGUGGCCACCCUCCAUGUGGGGACCAUGUUCCUUUGCAGAAGGAUGGAAGAGUUGCACUGCCAAGCUCAGAAUCCGGCUCACCCUGGAGGCUCGGGAAAUGCCUGUCACCAGCUUCGGGAAUCCCUGCCUCAGCAACGUGGAGCAGCCCAGUGGCUCUGUCUUGAGGAGCCAGGCUGGCCCUGAUUCAGACCUGGAGACUCUUGACUAAGGGAUUCUUAACCUGGGGCCUGCGAGGCCAGGGUGACUACAGGCAAAACCGCCUUUUGCAAGGAACCAGAGGGAAGGAAGUCUCAGCUUCCGCCUGAUUGGAAAUUGAGAGAAGCUUUUCCCAUCUUGAAGUAACGUCUGUUUCUGUAGCCCUGGAAUCUGGGCUUCCUUGUCCUUGUCUUGCCAGCGGACUGCAGUGGAAGUGACGCCGUCAUAGACUGACAGUCGGUGCCCCUCACAAUUGCUAACUGAAACCUAAUCCUCCAGAUGAUGGUAUGGGGAGGCGGGGCCUCUGGGGGGGCUUAGGUCAUGAGGGUGCAGUCCUCAUGAAUGGGAUGAGUGCCCUUAUGAGAGAGGCCCCAUAAAGCUCCGUCCCUCUGUCCUCCACGUGAGGACACAUAAGAAGAUGGCGGUCCAUGACCCAGUCCCUCACCAGACACGGCAUCUGCCAGCACCUUGAUCUUGGACUUCCAGCCUCUAGAGCCUUUGCCUGUGUCCCCUCCACCUCGGGAACGCUGCCGCGUGAAGGACCCAAGGCUGGCCCUGGAGGAGGAGAUGCUACAGGGAGGGAGCCAGGGUUUCUGUCUGAUAGCCAGCCGCCUUCCAGAAGUGGAGCUGCCUGCCUGCCGCUGACUUCAGAUGCAAUGCAGCCCAGCCUACGGAAUCAUGAACAAAAUCAACAAUUGCUGUUUUAAGCCAGGAAUCCGCAAACCUUUUCAGUAAAGGGCCAGAGAGUAAAUACUUGAAGCUUUGUGUGUAUCUUAGUUUGGGCUGCUGGAACAAAGGACCACGGACUGGGUGGCUUGUAAACAGUAGGAAAGUAUCCCCCGCAGUUCCGGAAGCUGGAGGAGAUGAGGGUGCCGGUGGGGCUGGGUUCUGGUGAGAGCCCCCUGGUGGGUUGCAAGUGGCUGCCUCCCUGCUGUGUCCUUGCAUGGGGGGGGGCAGCAAUCUCCCCUGUGACUCAAGGGCACUCCUGAGCGCGCCAGGCUCCUGAUGCCAUCUAAUCCUAAUCCCUCCCAAAGGCCCCACCUCCUAACACUGUCACCCUGAGGUUUCAACAUUGAAUUCUGGGAGACACAAACUUUUGGUCCCUGACACCAGGCCAUAUGGCGUCUGUUUGCAGCUACCGAGCGUCCCCACUCUAGGGCAGAGGCAGCCGUAAACGAUACACAAGGUGGACAUGGCUGUGUGCAAUCGAAGCUUUCAUUUUUGACUGAAGGAGAAAGAGUGGAUGUGCCCGCAGUCCAGCAGUUAGCAGGAGCCCUCCUCCACUUCCCAAGGCCGGAAGAGGCCUUGCAGUGAAGGGUGCCUGGGAUUUGGGCGGGUGGGGCUGGGAUGCAGCACACCAACCCGAGAGAAGGGCCUGGUAUGGACAUUGAAACGGGAGAAAAGCACGGGCUGACCGGGAAACGGUGCUGUGUGUGAGGGACAGAGGAUGUUGGGGGGGGGGAGGCUAGACAGUGGGCUCGGGGCUCUCAGAUGUAAGGCAGAAGCUGGGGUUUAUGCAGUAAGUAAUAGGGAGUCACCAAGAUACCUGCUCACAAGAUUUGUUCUGUUGUAGGAUGCUAAGGUGAUGCUAUAGGCUGAAUUGUGCCCCCUCCAAUUCAUGUGAAGCCCUAACCCCCAAUGUGACUAGAGGUAGGACCUCUAACAAAGUCGUUACAGUUACGUGAGGACACAGGUGGGUCUGAGGCAGCCAUCCUGGCCCCAUUCCGUGGGCUGUGCUUGGUUUGUGGCCAGUGGGGUGGGACCCAGGCUGGACAGGAAGCCGCUCGAGGAUGCCGGCACAAGGAGGCAUAUGUAGAAUGUACGUGGAGGAUACCUUGGAGCAUUGCUUACCAGCAGGAAAUUAGAAAUAAUGUUUGGUGGUUUAAAGAGAUACCCACAAACUCUUCAAUGGGGCCUAAUCUACUCUGCCCUGGAGUGUGGGUUAGAUUCAGUAAUUCGCUUCUAACUAAUGGCAUGUGGCAAAAGUUCUGCCAUGUGAUUGGUGUCAGAGGCUGGGUCAUGACAAGUCCAGCUUCCGCACCCCAGACUCUCUGUUUUCUCUCUGGGGAAACUAGUUGCUAUGUUGUAAGAAUACUCAAGCAGUACUGAGACGAGCCCACACAAGAGGACCCAAGGCUUCUUGCAGACAACUAGAACCAAAGUGCCCACUGUGUGAGGGAACAUCCAGGAAGCAGAGCCCGCCACCCCAGUCAAGCCUUCAGAUGAUGCCGCCCCAGCCAGCGUCUCGUGGGCAACCUCAGAAAGACCAUGAGCCUAGAGCCCAGCCAAGCCACUCCCGUGUUCCUGACCCGCAGAGACUGAAGAUCAGUAUUAUUGUUUGAAACCACAGCAUUGGGGAUAGUUUUUGACUCAGCAGUACAUAACACGUAAUAUAAAUGUCUACCAGUAGGAAGUUAGGCAAAUGAAUUGUGAUCCAUUCAAAUGAGUAAAUAAUCAGCCUUUAAGUUUGGGGGGCCCAGGAUGAAAGUACAAAUGGACUGCAUACCAUACAUCUAAAUACUUUAACAUCAUUAACCAAACUGGCUAAAAGUUAAAUACAGUAUGUUUUCUCUUACCUACCUUGACAAAUGUACGUUUCUAAUGACCAAAAAAAAAAAGGGGGGGCUAAGGUUUUUCUGGUUGGCAAAACAUCAAAGAUGACUGACUUUAUUAUCAUGCAUGUCUGGGCAUUCUGUUGAUGGGCCAGGGUUAUUUGGAUGUCUUAAAUAAAAUAACAAAUUCAUAAAUGAUUAUUUUGUAAAAUGUAUUUUUUGAAUUUUAUUUAUUUAUAUUAUUUCAGCAUGAAUGAUGUUUGUGUAACCAAGAUUUUCAUGUCAUCUGAGUUUUGCUACUAUAAUGGCCUGAAGCAGCUGUCAUGGAUGGGCUGACUUGUGUCCUCCCUAUAAUUUAUAUGUAGAAGUGCUAACCCCCAAGACCUCACUCACAACGUGACUGUUGUACUUGGAGAUGGGAUCUUUAAAAGCAGUGAUUAAGUCAAAAUGUGGUCACAGAGGUGGGCCCUAAGCCAGUAUGACUGGCGUCCCUGUAAGAGGCGAUGGGGACACACACGCAUAGAGGGACGGCCCUAUGAGGACAGGGAAGAAGAUGGUGUCUACAUGCCCAGGAGAGACGCCUUGGGAGGAACCGCCCCUACCAACUCCUUGAUCUUGGUUCCGGCCCUUACAGGACUGUCUGUUGUUGAAGCUACCCUGUCGGUGGGACUUUGUAAUGGCAGCCUGAGCAAACCCACACAGUCUCUUUCCUGAUCAGGGUUCCAUCUCAGAGCUGUAGAACACAGGAGAUGGUCGGAGAGCCCGAGUCCCCAUAGGGACAAGCCACAGCAAGCGCCAUCCCAGGAUCCUCAGAGGGACGUGAAUUCUUACCUACACGGAUGCCUGGGGGCACGAGGCCUUCGUUUCUGCUGGAAUCCCAGUUGAGAAAGGCUGAGCUAAAAGAUCCAACCUUAAAAUGCAGUUACAGCUGAAGUGUGCAAAGCAGAUGUAUAUUCAUCAGAAAUGCUGAGUGACUAAAUGUAAAACAUGAAAAAAUCAACAUAAUUUUUCAUGUGUGUCUAAAAAGUUUCUUUCUUAAAAUAUUAAAAAAUGUUAAACAUUA